Molecule: ribosomal RNA, 513 nt
Filed under: uncultured bacterium
Lineage: Bacteria
Description: partial 16S ribosomal RNA
Rfam family: Bacterial small subunit ribosomal RNA
Source: RNAcentral
GACGAACGCUGGCGGCAUGCCUAAUACAUGCAAGUCGGGCGAACAGAUGAAGUGCUUGCACUUCUGACGUUAGCGGCGAACGGGUGAGUAACACGUAAGGAAUCUACCUAUAAGCGGGGGAUAACAUUCGGAAACGGGUGCUAAUACCGCAUAAUAUCUUCUUCCGCAUGGAAGAAGAUUGAAAGACGGCUCUGCUGUCACUUAUAGAUGACCUUGCGGUGCAUUAGUUAGUUGGUGGGGUAACGGCCUACCAAGACGAUGAUGCAUAGCCGACCUGAACGGGUGAUCGGCCACAUUGGGACUGAGACACGGCCCAAACUCCUACGGGAGGCAGCAGUAGGGAAUCUUCCGCAAUGGGCGAAAGCCUGACGGAGCAAUGCCGCGUGAGUGAAGAAGGCCUUCAGGUCGUAAAACUCUGUUAUAAGAGAAGAACAAAUUGUAGAGUAACUGCUACAGUCUUGACGGUAUCUUAUCAGAAAGCCACGGCUAACUACGUGCCAGCCGCCGCCGUAA